GAGUUUGAUCCUGGCUCAGAUUGAACGCUGGCGGCAUGCCUUACACAUGCAAGUCGAACGGCAGCACGGGCUUCGGCCUGGUGGCGAGUGGCGAACGGGUGAGUAAUACAUCGGAACGUGCCCUGUUGUGGGGGAUAACCAGUCGAAAGAUUGGCUAAUACCGCAUACGACCUGAGGGUGAAAGCGGGGGACCGCAAGGCCUCGCGCAGCAGGAGCGGCCGAUGUCUGAUUAGCUAGUUGGUGGGGUAAAGGCCCACCAAGGCGACGAUCAGUAGCUGGUCUGAGAGGACGAUCAGCCACACUGGGACUGAGACACGGCCCAGACUCCUACGGGAGGCAGCAGUGGGGAAUUUUGGACAAUGGGGGCAACCCUGAUCCAGCAAUGCCGCGUGUGUGAAGAAGGCCUU
RNAcentral lists this ribosomal RNA (407 nucleotides) under uncultured beta proteobacterium. RNAcentral describes it as "bacterial SSU rRNA". It matches the Rfam family "Bacterial small subunit ribosomal RNA", at positions 9 to 418 of the family's 1533-position model. Lineage: Bacteria; Pseudomonadati; Pseudomonadota; Betaproteobacteria. The record is from RNAcentral.